Long non-coding RNA from Cyprinus carpio carpio, 861 nucleotides. NCBI's taxonomy places the organism in Eukaryota, Metazoa, Chordata, Actinopteri, Cypriniformes, Cyprinidae. The record is from Ensembl.
GAAGAAGAAGACGCUAACGCAGUCAGGACAGUUCGGACAUUGCGGUGAAUCAGAGGCACUCACUGACCUUGCCGUUCCUCAUCUGGAACCCUCAACAAUAGGCUGUCAGGACCACUGGAGGAACUGAAAGGAGAAGAGGCAGAGCGCUUAAACUAAAGGAUGAUUGGGUGUUGGCUGGGUCGGAAAGGGGGGCAAUGCUCAACUGUGACAGCACAAGACUCUCUGAAAAGGACAGAUUUCAGUCCAUGGCUAAGCUGCCCACUUCUCAGUCGAUGAUAAGCUAAGCACUGAAAACAGAAUAGUGAUCCACACACAAAUCACUUCCUCUCCAAGUACACAAGAGCUUCACAUUUGUAUACCCAUGAAAAGUGCAUGCAAACAAGUUUCUGAUUGUCUUGAUUCAUCGGAGCACUAUGGACAUUACAGCCAUUCGAAUGCCUCCAUUAGGCACCAUAUGUUCGCCCGUGGCGCAUGGCCUCAUCUUUGAAGUGGGUCCCAGUAGUUUAUUAUCCAGCAGUGAGGAAAUAUAUCAGCAGGAUCAGGAGCAUACACAAAUACAGUACAUACAUUCAAACACAAGGUACAGUAAGAAGAGUUUAACAAUCCUACAAUAUUGUUAAUCCAGUAAAACGUAGUUUAAACUGUGAGGGACAAUGUGGACUUUUUGUCAAUUCCAGAAAAGAUGAGACACUUUCAGAAAGGCUGGCCUUGGUUCAGUUGGAUAAAAGAAAAUGUUACAUCAUAACUCCAUUAACCCUCUUACUACUGACCAUGUCUGUUUCCACUGCGGGUGUGGAGGAAUGAGAAGGGUGUGCAAUGCCCUGCAGCAAGCAAACUUGCUCCGUUAGCAACUUGGAGGAC